RNAcentral lists this ribosomal RNA (118 nucleotides) under Pteropus alecto (black flying fox). Lineage: Eukaryota; Metazoa; Chordata; Mammalia; Chiroptera; Pteropodidae. The record is from RNAcentral.
ACCUGAGCCAUGCCACCCUGAAUGUGCCCGAUCUUGUCUGAUCUCGGAAGCUAAGUAGGAUCGGGCCUGGUUAGUACUUGGAUGGGAGACCACCUGGGAAUAUUGGGUGCUGUAGGUG